AAAGAAAAAAAAAAGGGUCCAAAGGCAACUCUCUACCAGUUGCGUGCGAGUCGGCGGUGGACAGCUACAUCCUCAGUCCAGUUGUCUUGCAAAUCGCUCCACAUCUCAGCACUCGCCGGAAAAAGGGAACAGAAAAAGUGUGAUGGGGAUUAUAAGGAGCAGUUUCUCAUUCAUAUCAGGAACUGUUUGCGGAAUAUACAUAGCUCAGAACUACAACGUCCCCAACAUUCGAAAGCUUAUUCAGAACGCUUUAUUCAAGGCCAAAGAUGUCGAAGAGAAAUAUCGCAAGCCCCCCAAACCUGGUGAUCGCCUUUAGAUUUCAUCGGCUAAUUGUUUUUUUCAGGAAGAGAUCUGAAUGGUAGACCAGUGUUCACUAGCAAUCCUUUGAGAUAGGGCAGUUCCAUUUCCAAGAUGGAACUAACAUAUUUUAUGAAGGUUGGCCUCGGUUCUUUGUUCAGAGAUCAAAUUUUCCAAAACCUUACCUGUUGCCACCCAGAACCUACACUUGGAUUCAACGUCCAGUUGUGCUCCCUCAUUAUUUUAUAGCCCCAAGACAGUUGCUCUUGAUCUAUCUUUAUUUUUAGCAGCAUAUUGUCUGCAUAGCCUCCAUAAUGUACGCACCUGUUUUUGCUUUAAUACAUUCUCAACAUUUUUGAA
Nicotiana tabacum (common tobacco) is the source of this 657-nucleotide non-coding RNA. NCBI's taxonomy places the organism in Eukaryota, Viridiplantae, Streptophyta, Magnoliopsida, Solanales, Solanaceae. The record is from RefSeq and is a predicted model, not a curated record.